UACCCGGUUCGUACUGUGGAGAUGGCCCUAACUACCGGCCCUGCCCUCGUGGAUACCAAUGUAGUGUACACGAAUUGGACGCCUUUGCUGUCUGUUGCCCUAGUAGACGACGUGGAUAUGGAGUUUGAGAAAACACUUGGUUUAAGUCUUGUAAUUUUAAUCGUCCGUGUAGAAAUUAAUGUUUUUAAAAUGUCAAUUUCACUAGUACUGAUGCAUGGUUUGUUAUUAAUGCUUUCAUCAAGAAAUAAAUUCCUUGUUAUCA
Molecule: long non-coding RNA, 262 nt
Organism: Saccostrea cuccullata (small rock oyster)
Lineage: Eukaryota; Metazoa; Mollusca; Bivalvia; Ostreida; Ostreidae
Exons: 2
Source: RefSeq, a predicted model, not a curated record